ACACAGGAAAGGAGGUGGUCCGCGAAAUUGAUAGCGUCAUGGACAUGUGAGGUGGCUGCGCGCUAGCAGCGUUGGCUCGGAAGAGUCAGCGACAACCGCGCUGGCGAAUUCCCCGCAGCCACCCGGCCCCCGAGCCUUCGGUCUGUCCAACCGAGAAUGCGCUCGGGGGCCGUUCCAU
This is a non-coding RNA of Mycobacterium shinjukuense, 178 nucleotides long. The record is from Rfam. NCBI's taxonomy places the organism in Bacteria, Bacillati, Actinomycetota, Actinomycetes, Mycobacteriales, Mycobacteriaceae.